UACGAAUGGAGCGAGCGUUGUUCGGAAUCAUUGGGCGUAAAGCGUAUGUAGGCGGACUAGAAAGUCAGAAGUGAAAUCCCAAGGCUUAACCUUGGAAUUGCUUUUGAAACUCCUAGUCUCGAGUCCCGGAGGGGUUGACGGAAUUCCUAGUGUAGAGGUGAAAUUCGCAGAUAUUAGGAGGAACACCAGUGGCGUAGGCGGUCAACUGGACGGGUACUGACGCUGAGAUACGAAAGCGUGGGGAGCAAACAGG
RNAcentral lists this ribosomal RNA (253 nucleotides) under uncultured bacterium. Its description in RNAcentral is "partial 16S ribosomal RNA". It matches the Rfam family "Bacterial small subunit ribosomal RNA", at positions 524 to 776 of the family's 1533-position model. The record is from RNAcentral.